RNAcentral lists this ribosomal RNA (468 nucleotides) under uncultured bacterium. RNAcentral's name for it is "partial 16S ribosomal RNA". It matches the Rfam family "Bacterial small subunit ribosomal RNA", at positions 28 to 507 of the family's 1533-position model. The record is from RNAcentral.
GACGAACGCUGGCGGCGUGCUUAACACAUGCAAGUCGAACGGAAAGGCCCUGCUUUUGUGGGGUGCUCGAGUGGCGAACGGGUGAGUAACACGUGAGUAACCUGCCCUUGACUUUGGGAUAACUUCAGGAAACUGGGGCUAAUACCGGAUAGGAGCUCCUGCUGCAUGGUGGGGGUUGGAAAGUUUCGGCGGUAGGGGAUGGACUCGCGGCUUAUCAGCUUGUUGGUGGGGUAGUGGCUUACCAAGGCUUUGACGGGUAGCCGGCCUGAGAGGGUGACCGGCCACAUUGGUACUGAGAUACGGCCCAGACUCCUACGGGAGGCAGCAGUGGGGAAUAUUGCACAAUGGGCGGAAGCCUGAUGCAGCAACGCCGCGUGCGGGAUGACGGCCUUCGGGUUGUAAACCGCUUUCGCCUGUGACGAAGCGUGAGUGACGGUAAUGGGUAAAGAAGCACCGGCUAACUACGUG